AGUUUGCUAUGCAGACUAGGCUGGCCUCUAACUCCCAAGUGCUGGAUUUAAGGGCGUCCAUCACUACACCAGUCCAGUUCUAAUAUUAAAUACUACAAGCUGGAGUUCUAGAAACAUUUUACUAUCUAUACAUCCUUUUUUUAAUUAACUUUCUUUUUUUGGAGACAGUGUUUCUCUGUGUAGUCUUGGCUGUCCUAGGACUCACUAUAUAUAGACCAGGUUGGUCUCAAAUUUACAGAACUCUGCCUGCCUCUGCCUCUGCCUCCUGAGUACCGGGAUCAAAGGUGUGCACCACCACUGCCCAGCUAAUUAGCAUUUACUAACAGAAGCAAGCCUGUGCUACAUAAUGAGUUCAGGUUGACCAGAGAUUCACAAGACCUAUCAAACUUCAACGGCCGGUCUUGGACUUAUUGAUUGAUGACAGCAAAAGAUCCGAUGUUUUCAAAAGACGUGGGUGAGUUCAAAACCCUUGGGUGAGUCUCCACACGAAAAUUUCUGUGCUCUCGUGGCAUUUCUGGUUACUUUUCAGGAAUAAGAGUUUUUCUGAUCAGGGGCUGGGGAUUUAGCUCAGUGGUAGAGCGCUUGCCUAGGAAGCGCAAGGCCCUGGGUUCGGUCUCCAGAGAGAAUCCAAGUUCAGUUCCAAGCCCCCGUGUUAGAUAGGUCACGACCACCUGCAAGCCUAACUCCAGUGGAUGACGCCCUCUUCCAGCCUCCAUGGGCACUCACACCCACAUGCACAUAACCAUGCAGACACACACAUAUAUCUCAUUAUGACAUUUUCAUACAUACACAAUGCACUGUGUUAUAUCGAUUCCCAUCAUCCUCUCUGCCUCCACCCCUAACCUACCCUCAACCCUAAGGACCCCUCUCAUUUCAUUAAAUAAUUCACCUUCUAGCUUCAUGUGACUUUAAAAAAAUCUAGGUUCAGCGUAUGAGAGAAACACUUGAAAUUUGUCUUUCUGAUGCUGGCUUCUUGUGCUUAAUACCACCAUAAUUUUUUUCUAACUUUCCUCAAAGAGCAAUUUGUAAUAACAUGAGGGGAAUCUGCCCGAUUUUGGUUGGCUGUCAAGUGAGGCUUCCCAAAGGCCUUUGAAUAAGUGAGUAAAGUAUGAGUGAAAUUGAAGCUCUUCCAGUUCUCUCCAGCGUUAUCAGUGUUCUAUAUGUCUUCCCACCACAAGAAAAGCCAUUUUGAAGGGAACGUUUCCCAUAAGCUGCAGUGUACUGCCCAUGAGAUUUUGCUGGGGAAACAUCCCUGGCUUGCAAACUAACUCUCUUUCUUUACAUUAAGGGUAUGCUAAAUACCCUCCAGGUGACAGCCAUAGCUGCCUCUAUUCCUCUUGUCCUGUGUGCCAAAAUACAUGGUAGUGAGGUGGCAGGUUUGGCCUAGGCAGAAUGUUGUGGCUUUCUGCAUGUAAGAUAAGCAAUCUAUCACUAAACUGAAUCCCCAGCUCUGGUCUUCAACUUUAUAAGUUUACUUUCCAAAGAGCUGAUCUAGUUCGCUUGGAGGUUUUCACUCAACUCUCCUUGUUUCUCCCCACCCCCACUCUUGCCCCCACCCUGCCCCAUCCCAUCCUCCACCCGCCCCCCAAUGACCACACAUGUUCCUUCCUAUCUGUGUUUGACUUACUGUCCAAACACAGACGUCUAUGUGGGCAUCGAUAGAAAUGCACGGUCAGUGUGCAUAUGAGAGUCACUUAUUUUUCUCUCAUUUAGACCUUCCUAGUGGUGCCUGGCUUUCAGGUGAGCAGUACCCACAGUGCAGAAGAGUCGCCAGCGGUGGCUAAUUGUCUGUACCCUGGGGUAUAUGUAGGUUAGGUGAUGUGUUUGCAAGGCAGCCUUUUUUUAAAAUUUUCACUCUCUGUGUAUUGGUGUUUUGCCUGCAUGCGUGUCUGUGAAUCACUUGCAUAUCUGGUACCCACUGAAGCUUCAGAUGCCCCCUAGAACUAAUGUAAACUUAUGUGAGCUACCUUACUAUGCUGUUCCCUUCUGAAUGGGCUCAGAGCGGUCAUGCCAAAAGGUCAGGUGAACUGUGUUAAAAGAUAAGGCUGGGCACCAGGCAGGACUCUGCUCCCAUCACCCAACAGUACCGGGUCUGUUUCCUGGCCGGAAGAUUGCCAUUUUCAGGGAAAAACAAUCUGGAGUCAUUCAGGAGAAGAAAAGUCAGAGUAUGAAGUCACACUGUGUUUAUAUCCCACAUGGGGACUUUUGGAGUUGGGGACCUUUUCUCUUCAUCUUCAGUGACGAGAAUGGGAUUGAGGACAAAAGAGAAGUCUCAGGCUAGAAGUUUAGGACUUGAAAUGAGUUUCUGAAGAAGACUGUGGCUCUUCUUCCCCAGAGGCUACUGCAAAUAGGACACCACAGCCAUCAGUGACAAUAAUCAGUGCUUCGCUGCUCAUCAGAAUCUGGCGUGGGCUGAUAAAAUAUCGGCCAGGGUCAGCGAGGCUGUCCCACUUCUGGAAGACUUGCCUUGUGAGAACCAGCUUGCAGACAGGACAGGACGUCUGGGGUGGGUAGUUAUGUAGUUAUCUUGAAUUCCUUGAAUUCUUCCUCUCAGGGACCUCUUAACCAGCACAUCUCCCUGGUGCAUUUAGAAUUGGUCUUGGUUCAUUUACAUAGCAUCCCGGAGCCCGCCCCUGCUGCAUCUGCAAGUGACUGUCCCCUUUCUGGGGGUCUGGAAGGCACAGUCCUCUGGGUGUCCCCUUGCCUUGACACCUGUGAUUUUGGGCUGUGCAUUAUUGAGUACCAAUUGUCUUCAAUACCCCUCUUUCAUCAGGAUUCUUUCUCCUGAAGGUUUUUGCACUUUGCUGCUCUGUUUCCUGACUUAACCACCUCCAGGCCAUUUCUGCACUCUCCUCUUUCUGCCUUCCAGAUGUUAAUUGUUUUUUUUUAAGCUUCAUUUUGGUCUCACUUCUAUACACUUUUCAUACUUAAGGAUAAGAAGGUAUGGCGAGGGAAGGCUACAGCGAGGGAAGGGAGAACCUAGUCCCUCCAGAUACACAGGUAGAUAGAGGAUCCAAUUAGAGUUGACAGCCUCUAAGGGGUAGAGAAAUUAUCUUGGGCACUAUUGCUUCUCUUGUGACUGCUGCUGCAAACUCUGAAGGAACCUCACUCUGUGUGGAUCACAAGAAAAACAUUAGGGGAGCUCUGAAUAGAUCCUAUACUCAAAGGCCUGGCACUUCCAGGCUAUUAACUCUUUUAAAGCUUCAGUGGCCCUCCUCCAUGACUACCAGGUUGGUUCCAAGUUCUCAAAAGCAAGAAUUAAAGUUUCAACAGAACUCAGAAGUCCCAAGCUUUGAUAGAAAAACAUUACAAAUGCUACUUACAAUUCUAAGAUCAACAGUCAGAAUAACUAAGGUUCUGUGCAUCUGGAAUAAGAGGGGUGUCAUACAAUGCUGCCCACAAGCAGUUAAAUGGCGCAUCUGAGACUUGGAUCUGUCACCCUGUCAGCUCUAAUGCUUGCCCUGAGAACCUCUGGCAGAACUAGAUAGAUGAAGCAGAGUCAAUGGGGUAGACUCUGGGGGGAGGGGGUAAAGAAGGCCACUGGGGGGUUCAAGGACUCUACAGGCAGCUCGGUUUCUUUACAACGUGUAUCUCCUCAUGAUUCAGACAGCUCACUUGAGCAAGUGCUCUUGUGUGUGUCAGUCACUAUUAAGAUCCAUGUUGGUUCAGAAAUAGGACAAUGAGAAAAGAAUUCAAGGAGAGAAACCAAAGAAUGAUUAAAUGGAAAAAGUAGUUGUGGGCACAGAGACUGUUCUUUUUAUUUUCUAAGAUAUUAAAAGAGGGUUAAUUUUACAGACAAUUUUACACUUUAAAGUUGGCUGCACUAGCUCCUGAAGGGAAGAGGCAGAGUGGGAAGAAGGACAGAUGUUCCUGGGGCACAAAAGAAAGCAGUAGAGAAGCAUGGAGACCGAUAGGCACCUGAAACCCUGCACGGAGAGUGAGCAGCUCAGGGGAAUCGUGGGCUGUUAGGUCAGUGGUAGGUGAUGGACUGCUGGUAAAAGAAAUAUUGUGAAAGUCAGUGUUUAUAAUUUGAGUUUAUAUAUCCCUGUAACUGAGGUUAUAUGUUACAGAUAGGAGGUUGUGCUGAUGGGAGAAAGCUAUUCUAUUUUUAUCAUCAUCAUCAUCAUCAUCAUCAUCAUCAUCAUUGGCAACAGCAGCAGCAGUAGCAUUUUAAUAUAUCCCAUAUCAUAUCAACUUUGUUCAUGGAUACAUGAUAAAAUGCCCACUUCGUUGUAAUUUCUGGAGUCCAGUGGUAAGAAUAAACUCCAGGGCACAAGUGCCCCAGAUGAACUCUCAGUGCCGGCGUAAGGACUUCAGAAGGAAGCACACCUGAGUUUGAGCCUGACUCUGACAGUUAUCAGCAUAUGACUGUGGCAGGCUAUUUAAUCUUCAUGGGCAGGAAUAAUGUAGUGAUAAGUAAGAGGUCUAAUCUCCCCUAUCCCCUUGUUAAGGGUUUAGUGUGUUGACGUACAGAAAUUACUUGGCACCUAGUAGAUGGUAAGAUUACACAACCUUUAUUUGAUUUUCAGCGGAGUAACAUAAAACAGGAAAAAAUCUCAAAGGUGAGCCUAAAAUGUCAGUAGAAUCCUAUCAAGCUCAAGGAGAAAGUACAGUUAGAGAGAGAGAGAGAGAGAGAGAGAGAGAGAGAGAGAGAGAGAGAGAGAGAGAGAGAGAGAAAUGAGUAUGUAUACCUAGGUAUGAGGAGUACAGGAGCUAGAGCACUGACUAAGCUUGGGGCUCUAGUCUUGAGUCACUGCCCAUAGGUGGCCUAGACCCCAGUCCAGACAUGGCAUAGCCCUUUAGUGGGAUAGGCAACCUCUGAAUUUUUCUGUAUCAUUCCCAAUCCUGGGAGCCCUACACUUCAAAGUUGACUGCCUUGUGCUCUUCCAACCAUGAGACUGUUUUAUAUGUGGGUCAGUGUCCUAUUAACUCCUCUUAUUUCAGUCACAGCAACUUUGAGCCUAUGCCACUUUGAAUAAGACUCCCAAGUUCCCAGUCAGCUAUUUUUAUCCGUAAUGCCAAACUUCUGUUUGGCUCAUCAAUAGUGUUAAUGUCAGCAGGUCUCAACUUUCAUGCUAUAAAAUUGUGAUGGUUUUAUUGACCAAUUAGCACAGGCUAAUGAUGAUUGUUUUUAUGAAAGUUGGUGGGUCACACUCUGGACAGCAGGCUUAACAAUGUCAUUGAAGUUUUAAUCAUAGAUCAUAAAAUGUUAGGAUUGGAAGGGUCUCAGCAGCCACCUAGCUCAACCUGCUCUGUUUACAAAAGAGGAAACUGAGGCCUGGAGACAUUUAUUUCUUAUUAAGGUGACCAAUAGGAUAGAGAAUGGAGGUACCUGGAGGAACAGAUUUUUUUAAUAAUCCAUCGAGGAGGCUCUGUUAUCAAGAGAGCCCUGGCUCACUGCCAACAUCUGCUGCUCUUGCUGCUGCAGUGUGAGUGGGCUCCUGCCUCGCUCGCUCGCACACACUCCAUAUUCGCUGGCCUCUUUUACAUUUUGACUUUGACUCAGGGACCUCUGACCACUUUCUUAUAACUAUAAAACCUAGGCUUUCCAAGCAAAGGUGCAGAGGCGUCUACCGUGGGGGUUUUUAAAGCCGAAUGAUUCACAUGUUCAAGCAUGUUCUUCCUCCUAGAGAGAAGCUUCUUUUAAAAUCCUGUGUGUGCGUGUGUGCGUGUGUGCGAGUGAGUGUGUCACUGUGCCUAGCUUUUUCUGUGGAUGCUGGAGAUCUGAAUGUAGGUUCCCACACUUGAGUGGCAGGUACUUUAUCAACUGAAUAAUUCACCUUUAGCUUACUUUAUUAGUUACCUUUCUCCUUGCUUCAAACAAAUGCUUGACAGAAAGCAACUUAGGAAAUGGAUUCCUAUUGAUGGUUCAAGAGGGUACAGCCCACCACAGUGGGAAAGUAUAGCAAGUCGUUCAUGACAACAGAAGCUUGAACCAUAGACUCCUCACAUUUGGGAAGAAGAAAGAAGGAGACAGAGGGAAGGAGAGAAGGAGAGAGAGGACUCCAAUCCAUAAAAUUGCUAUACCCCAACUCAGGAAAAGUCUCACCUCCUCAGUUAAAUUUCACCAGAAACAUCCUCACAGACAUAUCCAGAGAUGUGUCUUCUAGACGAUUUUAACUCAGUCAAGUUGACACGGAGUAACCACACUCAAUAUUGAGGAGUCUGAGCUCUGGAGAGAUGAAGAAAAUUGCCUAGAGUCAUUGAGCUGAUCCAGGUAGGUGAGACCCUGACUCUGUUCCCCAGACUCUGUUUCUCCCUGGAGUUGGAGAUGAGAUUCCCCGACACCAUGUCAGAAGGAAAGGGGGAAGAGGAGGAGGGAUUUCAAGGAGCUGAAAUGAGAGAGGCUAUGAGAAAUGGGACUUUGUCCUUAAAACCCUCCUCAAAGUAGAGUGCUGGGAAUUGAGUCUGUGUGAGGGCAGUGUGGCCUGGUGCUCACAACUAAAGGAUGGUGCUAGUAACAAGGAAUCCCCAAAUGCCUAGAUGCCUAGAGUGGGGUACCCUGUAGCACCCUUCUGUAGAGUGUGGAAGGCCAGGAAAAGGCUGGGCGGGUGUGAUGCUUUGAGUGAAGUGACCCCUGUGGACCCACAGGGGGUGGCACUAUUGGGGACAGUUGGCUUUGUUGGAGGAAGUGUGUCCCUGGGGUGCACUCCAGGGUUUCAGAAGUUCAAGCCAGGCCCACUGUCACUCUCUUCCCCUACAGCCCGUGGAUCCAGAUGUAGAACUCUGCGGCACCACGCCUCUAUGCUUCCCAUCAUGAUGACAGUGGGCUGGACCUCUGAACUCUAAGCUAGCCCCAAUCAAAUGCUUUCCUUCAUUAGAGUUGCUGUGGCCAUAGAGCCUCUUUAUAGCAGCAAACCCUUACGACAGCAGGUGUCAUAGAUGUGGGUCCGUUUGUCAUCAUUUCACACUUCCUGGUGCCUCAGACCUGUGGGGACCUUCAAGACCACAGAGGCUAUUCAAGUCGCCCUGAUGAUGAGCCCUGGGCAGCCACAGAAGGGACAUAAGCUUUUGAGACAAACUGCUCUAAACUCAAACCUCCCUCUUGGGCUGUAUGCAUUCUUGGUCAUCUUUGUCCAUUUCCACAGCAUGGACUAAUAUCUGCUUUUUUACAUCCAUAAGGAGUGUGUAAUGAAUGUAGUUGCAAAAUUAAACAAAUUCCAUCCACCUCCAUCCACCACUUACUAGCAAUAUGCUAAGAGCAGGGGUAACUCUGAGGUCACUGCCCACUUCUCCCCAGCAUUCUCCACUUCCCACAAGUAAAGACGUUCUUCUUCCCCCACCCCUCCCAUAUCCUAGCAGCAACCAGGAAGGAGAGCUGGAGUUUUAGGAGGGUCAGAACUGAAGCCCUGUGUGUUUGAAAUGGAGAGCUGGUGCUGUGGCCCUCCCCAUCAGCCGUCUUUGUACCAGAAGCUCCGAGAGUUUGACAGUGGAUGAUCGCACUAGCAUUCCCUGCUUCCUGAGGGAGGAUAAAGCCAACACAAAAAGCCCUGGAGUGUGCUUGUGUUGACAGCUGCUGGGUCCCAGUGUGGAGAGGCGGUACAAAGCACAGACUUUGGAGGGUCCAUCGUCCAGGCCCAGAGUCCAAGGACCAAGUCCAUCUGCACCAAUUCAAGGAAGGCUCCCUUUAGCUUAAUCACCAGUUUGCUCAGCAGGGCCUCUUGUUCCCAAACAUGCAAAUGAGGCUUAUUAUUCCCAUUUGCUAGAUAGAAAAACUGAGGCUUGGAGCAGUGGAUUGGCUUGUUCCAUCACAGUAACCCUGAUACAGGAUCUCCCUGCUUCCAAGACACACACACACACACACACACACACACACACACGCACGCACGCACGCACGCACGCACGCGCACGUGCACACGCACACGCACACGCACAGGCGUUAGCGCGCGCCAGGAACAGGUACACCAAUUAGCCCACAGACGGAGCAGUGGGUUAGGGGUCCACCAUAGCUCAAAUUCCCUGUGGGAAGUUGGGGACAGCAGAGGCCUUGUGUUGCCCACCAUCCUUUCUGGGCUUCACGUCUUCACCAGAAGUCUUUUUUUCUCCUUCCACGUCCCUUUAGAUUCAUGUUCUUCCUCUUUUUCGCCCUCCCCUCUGCUUCCUGAUUCAUUCCUUGCUCUUUCUUCUUCACUCAGUCCUUUUUCUUUCCAGCCCUCCUUCUCCCUGGCGUUCAGAACUCCCAGGUUCCUUCUUUCUUCCUUUCCCUCUUUCCGGUCUCUUUGUCUCCCCCCUCCUUUCUCCUUCCUCCGCUCUGUCCCCGCAGCCCCCACUCCAGGUCUGCUCUCCCGACUGCGCCCCUAGCCCUCCCUCCGCCCUCGCCCCGCCCUCCCCUCCCAGUCGCUCCCCCUUCCUUCUCCACUCUCUCGCUCUCUGUGAUUUAUUACUUACCCUGCUGCUUCUGACAAACUAUUUGUAGGAAAAUGAGAUUUGGUCCGCGCUGGAUGGUUCCUCUGGGAGGCAGGCAUGGGGGUCGUGUGUCUGAGCCCCCGUGCGGCGCCCCCGCCGGAGCCCCACGGCGCUUACGGAGCUCUUUAAGAUAAAUGAGCAAAAUUAAGAGACUCACUGGGGGAAGAAAACCCUGGCUGGCAGCGAGUGAGAGCGGAUGGCACACGGUUUCCUCCCCAAAAGGCGUCCGCGUGCCCCCCUACUCCCCAGUCCACUGCAGUCUCCAGGGAACUCCCUCCCCCCAGGAGAAGAACUUCAGCCCCAGGGCAGGAGCGGUUCAGUUCCCAGGAUGUGGCGCCGACAAGACCUGAGACCUCUAGUAAGGUGCAAGCAACAGACUGGAGACCACGGUGGGGCAGCAGCUCUGGGGUGGCUUGGAAGAAACCUGACAGGCUGAGGUGAUGGUGGAUGUGGGGAACAGCCCCAAACCACAGAGGCACAAGACAAUUUAGCCACACCCAGUCCCAUUUGGAGUAUAGUUCAAGUCCUGGUUAUAGUCACCCCUCAGGGGCACAGGAGGCUGUGCUGUCUUCAGCCUCGGGCUCUAGAAUUAAAAGCAGCUUUGGAGGCUCUGGGCAGAGGUAGCUCUGAGGCCUCUCUUCAAAGUCAGGAAUUUAGCUCCUGUUUGUUGGGGAACGAAAAGCUGUGAUUCUGUUUGAAUUUCCUGCAAUGCCAAUAGGCUAGCUCACUUUAGAUCUUAAAUAUUAUUUGCAAAGUGAGUGCAUGAACAGAUGAAUGACUUUGAGAGCUCAGGGAUGUGUUUCCAGCUCCAGUGAAAUGUCAACAGAACCAGGUUUUCAAUCUCCUUCUCUAGUCUUCUAUUUUAAAAGCGACAUACUUUCAAGGCAAGACAGAGAAGCAUAAAGAGGAAAAUACAGAGCUGGACAUGUAGCGUCAGCACGGAAAUAGUCUUCGUUUGAAUCUCCAGCUCCGAGGGAUUGGGGAGGGGGAGAACCUAAAAGCCACCUGUUAUUUCUUCUAUUGAUAGUUUGAUAUUUUUCUAAAUUUGAAAUAUGUAUUAAAAGCUAAUACAUUGUAAACAUGUGUGAUCUGCUUUUACCUACUCAACAUUCUUUCACAAGUACCUUUUUACUAUAGUUCAUGUAAUUUCUAUGUGUAUAUGAAAUACAUCCUAAACAUAAUUUCUAUUAUAUUUAUUUUAUCUCACUUUGCAUGUGCUGUGUGUAUGCACAUGCAUGCAUGCCAGGGAACAAUUUACAGGAGUUGAUUCUCUUCUAGUGUCUAUGUCCCAGGAUUGAACUCGAGUCUCAGCCUUUCGUGUUGGGCCCCUUGGUAAUCCCUAAAGCGUAACUCUGAGUAAAUCUACUGUUUUACUUCUUUGCUUGUUCUGUAUAAGAUUAUUUUAAUAAAGGUCAUAUUUUGUUCAUUUCCAUCAUUUUUGCUUUUACUCUUCUGAAGGUGUUAGCGCACCAUUUUCUAUUUAUUUUAUUUUAAUCACAGUGAUAAAAGCAGCUAUCUGAUCCCCCACCCCUUCCAAGUUUCCACAGGACAAAGUGUGACACUUGACAAUCUACAUCAAAUUGACAAGACAAUCUACUGGGCCAAGUUGAAGUUUUCUGACUGGAUCACCUUUUCCGGAAUUUUGCAGGUUUCCAAAGAUACUCUGGGUCUGAAAGCCAGGACUGUCUGAGAGUCUGGAAUCAAGUCUGUAAGUCUGUCAGCCAGGACUGUCUGAGAGUGUUCUGGAAUCUAGGAAGUGGGCAAGGCUGCUUCAAGUAUCAAAAAGAGAUGCCAUACUUAAAGCAAAGGAUUGUUGGAUUUGAAUCUAUCUAAGAUAUCUACAAAUAAAUAUAGCAAAA
This is a non-coding RNA of Rattus norvegicus (Norway rat), 10265 nucleotides long. NCBI's taxonomy places the organism in Eukaryota, Metazoa, Chordata, Mammalia, Rodentia, Muridae. The record is from RefSeq and is a predicted model, not a curated record.